Molecule: small nuclear RNA, 101 nt
Filed under: Erinaceus europaeus (western European hedgehog)
Lineage: Eukaryota; Metazoa; Chordata; Mammalia; Eulipotyphla; Erinaceidae
Source: RNAcentral
GCAUAUGGCAGUACAUAUGCAAAAAUUGGAAUGGUACAGAGAAGAUUAGUAUGGUCCCUGUAAAGGAAGACACACAAAUUUGUGAAGAGGUACACAUGGGG